RNAcentral lists this long non-coding RNA (741 nucleotides) under Brassica napus (rape). Its description in RNAcentral is "long non-coding RNA (BNAP_LNC012197)". The record is from RNAcentral. Lineage: Eukaryota; Viridiplantae; Streptophyta; Magnoliopsida; Brassicales; Brassicaceae.
UUACAAUGGAACUUAGAGGAUUAGACAUGGAGAAGAGACGCAAGUAAUGGAGCCACCGCGUCAUGACACUUCCGGUGCCGAUCUACAUUUUAACCAACCGUGAGCCAUUGGGGGAGAGGUCAAUGUCACCGUAGAGCCAUGACAUUGCUGUCCGAGCCAUCGCAAGUCACCGCCGUCAAGAUCCGAGCAAUAACCUCACGAUCUCCACCUUGCUUGCUCAACAAGCUUCUUUUCUUCACUUGGCUUGGUCGCUCACCAAUGACGUAGCCACCUUAAUCAGCCAUGAAACUAUGCAUGAGGUUUAAGUGUCAUUCCCAUGUUCUUGUACGAUCAUAUGACCUUUGGAAUGUUUCUUGUGUUACAAGCAACAUCAAUAGCAUAAGCACUAAUCGUGUCAUGCCAUGCGCAGGAAGAAACAUGGAACUAGGUGAGAAUUAUUUGAUAAAUAAUUCAUGCUAAAGCCUAGACUGACAGACAUAUUUGUUUCCGAUCCAGCUUCAAUUUUGGCUAAGGUGAGGGUGUUUUCCCGAACUUCUCUUACACGGCUUAGGACCUCGAAUAAGUAUAAUUUAUUCUUAAUAUGUUAUGUCUGCAUGAAAUCGAGUAUGUCAUUACUUGUUUAGUCUUUAGGUUCUUUGCUUAAACUGGAUAUAGGAAUCUAGAUGGUUCAACUUUGAUUGUUUCAUUUAGAAUUGGUGAAUAAAAAUAGUUGUUUUAUUAAGAUUUAUGAGAUUGUUUGAG